RNAcentral lists this ribosomal RNA (507 nucleotides) under Plectus velox. Its description in RNAcentral is "SSU rRNA". It matches the Rfam family "Eukaryotic small subunit ribosomal RNA", at positions 88 to 590 of the family's 1831-position model. The record is from RNAcentral. Lineage: Eukaryota; Metazoa; Nematoda; Chromadorea; Plectida; Plectidae.
CGCGAAUAGCUCAUUACAACAGCUAUAAUUUACUUGAUCUUGACACUAUCCUACUUGGAUAACUGUGGCAAUUCUAGAGCUAAUACACGCAAUAAAGCUCCGACCUUACGGGACGAGCGCAUUUAUUAGACCAAAACCAAUCGGGCCUCGGCCUGAACGGUGGUGACUCUGAAUAACUGAGCUGAUCGCAUGGUCUUUGUACCGGCGACGCAUCUUUCAAGUGUCUGCCUUAUCAACUUUCGAUGGUAGUUUAUGUGCCUACCAUGGUUGUUACGGGUAACGGAGAAUAAGGGUUCGACUCCGGAGAGGGAGCCUGAGAAACGGCUACCACAUCCAAGGAAGGCAGCAGGCGCGCAAAUUACCCACUCUCGGCACGAGGAGGUAGUGACGAAAAAUAACGAGGCGGUUCUCUAAGAGGCCCGCUAUCGGAAUGGGUACAAUUUAAACCCUUUAACGAGGACCUAUGAGAGGGCAAGUCUGGUGCCAGCAGCCGCGGUAAUUCCAGCU